ACCUCAGGUCAAGCAGGAUUAGCCACUAAGUUUAAGCAAAUCGAUAAGUGGAGAAAUAAAAACUUACGAGGAAUCCCCUAGUAAUGGCAAGAAAAUUAAUAAGAGCCCAACUUGAGAAUCCUGCACCCCUGGCAUCUGAAUUGUAGAUGAAGAAGUGUCCUUAGUGGCAAACCAAGCCUAAGUCCCUAAAAAAGGGGCACUAGACAGGGUGACAGCCCCACUGUGCCUGGACCCUAUCGCAUGAUGAGGCAUUAUCUAUGAGUCAGGUUGUUUGGCAAUGCAGCCCUAAUCGAGUGGUAAAUCUCAUCUAAGGCUAAAUACUGGUGAGAGAUCGAUAGUGAACAAGUACAUCAAAGGAAAGAUGAAAAAGACUUUGAAAAAAAAGUCAAAGAGAGCUUGAAAUUGUUGGAAAGAAAGUGGAUAGAGAUUGGUGAUGUGACCUAGUAAGAUGUGGAAUGGUAAGAGCCAAUCUGUCAAUCAACUCAAGGCAUGGGCCAAUGCAAGUCAUGGUGAUGGCCCAAGCCCAGGCUUUUGAUAUGCCUAUGGAGACAUUGUCACCAUGAUCAUGGAAUGUAGCAUGCGCUGUCUUGAUAUGCCUCGACAUCCAUAUGCUCUUGACGUCAGCUUGUGAGCUCUCUAUCCAGACUAAGGAGUCUAACAUGUAUACGAGUCAAUGGGCUAGAAAACUCAUAAGAGGCAAUGAAUCUUAUUGGUGGGAUCUCUCAUGGGUUUACUAUUGACCAACCUAGAUCUUUUAAGAAGGGUUUGAGUGUGAGCAUGCCUGUCGAAACCUAAAAGCUAGUAUAUUAUGCAUAAGUAGGGCGAAGCCAAAGGAAACUUUAGUAGGGCUUACAUUGAUAUUGACGUGUAAAACAUUCAUCUAACUUAGGUAUAGGGGCAAAAGACUAAUCAAACCAUCUAGUAGUUGGUUCCCUCCAAAGUUUCCCUGAGUAUAGUUGGAACCUUUAAUGAGUUCUAUUAGGUAAAGCCAAUGAUUAGAGGCAUUAGGGGUACAAUGCCCUUAACCUAUUCUCGAACUUUAAAUAGGUAGGACAGCAUGGCUGUUUUGUUAAGCCUCUCUAUAGAAUUGAGACAUCCAAAUGGGCCAUUUUUGGUGAGCAAAAUUGACAAUGUGAGAUGAACCAAAAGUUGGGUUAUGAUGCCCUACUGUGUGCUUACCUAUAACCCACAAAGGGUAUUAGUUGAUUAAAAUAGUAGGACAGUGGUAAUGGAAGUUAAAAUCCAUUAAAAUGUGUGUAACAACUCACCUACCAAAUUAACUAGCCCCGAAAAUGGAUGGCACUUAAGCAUGUGUCCUAUACCCGAUUGUUGAGGUAGGGCUAGGCCUUGAUGAGUAAGAGGGCACAAUGGUUGGCAUAAAACCUGAGAUGCAAGCUCAGACAAAGCAGCCAUAUUAAAUCUUGGUGGUAGUAGCAAAUAUUAAAAUGAAAACUUUGAAUGCUAAAGAGGGGAAAAGUUCUAUGUGAAUAACAUUUACACAUGGGUUAGUCAAUCUUAAUAGAUGAGGGAAGUCCAUCUAAUAGCGCAUUUAGCAUGAGCUUCAAAAGGGAAUCAGGUUAAAAUUCUUGAACCAAGAUGCAACGAUUGAUAGCAAGGUUAAGGAGUUCAAACACAUUAGCGAGGGUCUAGGGAAAAGUUAUCUUCUGUAUUUAAUAGCCUACCCACCAUUAAAAUAGCUCAGUCGGAGGUAGGGUCCAGUAGCUAAAAGAGCAUCGCAUGUUACAUGGUGUCUAGUGUUUCCCCGAUGAUGCUUGAAAAUCUAGAAGACCAAGUGCCGUUUAUGCCCAAUUGUACUCAUAGCAGCAUCUAGUCUCUAAGGUGAAUAGCCUCUAGUUGAUGGAAUAAUGUAGGCAAACAAAGUCAGCAAAAUGGAUCCAUAACCCCAAGAAAAGGAUUAGCUCUAAGGCCUAGGCAUAGGGGUCCUAGUCUUAAACCCAUUAGCUGUCAGUGCACUAUUUGAGUUACUCCCAUAGAAAGAGUGGGUCACCAUGUACUGGUCGAGGGAUGGACUAGGAGUGACUCCCUUGAGGGCCUUCCUAGGGUGAUGAGUAGUCAACUUAGAACUAGUACAAACAAAGGGAAUCUACCUAUUUAAUUAAAACAAAGUAUUGUAAUGGUCCCUACAGAUGCUCAUGCAAUGUGAUUUCUGCCCAGUGCACUAAAUGUCAAAGUGAAGAAAUUCAACCAAGCACGGGCAAACGAUAAGAGUGACUAUGACUCUCUUAAGGUAGCCAAAUACCUCAUCAUGUAAUUAAUGAUGAACAGGAAUGGAUUCCCAUUGCCCCUGUCUACUCUUUAGUUAAAGCACAAUCAAGCAAAUGGGCUUGGCAAAAUAACCAGGGAAAUAAGACCCUAUUGAGCUUAACUCUAGUCCAAUUUUGUGAAAUGACUUGAAAAGUGUAGGAUAUAUGGGAGACCUUGGGCAAAAUUGAAAUAUCACUACUUUUAAUGUUAUUUUACUUAAUUCAUGAAUCGGAAGAGGGGCAUGACCCUUUUUUUUUAAACCAAGGCUGGCCUCGAUCGAUUAAUCUAAGCAAAAGACAUUGUCAGGUAAAGAGUUUGGCUGGAGCAACACAUCUAUUAAAAGACAACACAUGUGUCCUUAGAUGAUCUCAACGAGAAUAAAAAUAUCAUGUGGAACAAAAAGGUAAAAGCUCAUUUGAUUCUAAUUUCUAGUACGAAUAAGAAUCAUGAAAGUGUGGUCUAUCGAUCCUGUAGACCUUCAAAAUUUAAACUAGAGGUGUUAGAAAAGUUACAAUAGGGAUAACUGGUUUGUGGCAAUGAAGUUCAUAGCGACAUUACUUUUUGAUCCUUCGAUGUUGGCUCUUCCUAUCAUUGUGAAGCAGAAUUCACCAAGUGUUAAAUUGUUCACCCAUCAAUAGGGAACCUAAGUUGGGUUUCGAUCAUUGUGAGAUAGGUUAGUUUUACCCUACUGAUGGUAGCAUUGCAAUAGUAAUUGAACCUAGUAUGAGAGGAAUCAUUGAUUCACAUAAUUGGUCAUGCACUUGGUUAAGAAGCUAAUGGUGUAAAGCUACCAUAUGCUGGACUGUGGCUGGAUGCCUUUAAGUCAAAAUCUGAGCUAAAAGUAAUGCAUGAGCUUGUCACCCUAUUCCAACCUACAAGAGGGGCCUACAGUCCCCAAAGGCAUGUGUUGUAGGUGUAGCCCCCAUAGCGGACAAGGCAUGCAGGCCUUUUUGGAGCUAAAUUCCUAUCU
RNAcentral lists this ribosomal RNA (3235 nucleotides) under Durio zibethinus. Its description in RNAcentral is "eukaryotic LSU rRNA". It matches the Rfam family "Eukaryotic large subunit ribosomal RNA". Lineage: Eukaryota; Viridiplantae; Streptophyta; Magnoliopsida; Malvales; Malvaceae. The record is from RNAcentral.